UCUGCUUUGGCAGCACACACUAAACUGGAAUGAUACGGAGAUAAGCAUUCCCCCUGAGCAAUAGUGACAAAGACAUUUGUGAUCUGUUCCAGGUAAAA
Molecule: small nuclear RNA, 98 nt
Filed under: Mus caroli (Ryukyu mouse)
Lineage: Eukaryota; Metazoa; Chordata; Mammalia; Rodentia; Muridae
Description: snRNA (MGP_CAROLIEiJ_G0035379.1)
Source: RNAcentral